This 28-nucleotide non-coding RNA is filed under the name Rattus norvegicus (Norway rat). The record is from RNAcentral. Lineage: Eukaryota; Metazoa; Chordata; Mammalia; Rodentia; Muridae.
UGAUCUGGGCCGUAUCCGCAAUGGAGUC